UGACUNGAGUACAGAAGGGGAGAGUGGAAUUCCAUGUGUAGCGGUGAAAUGCGUAGAUAUAUGGAGGAACACCAGUGGCGAAAGCGGCUCUCUGGUCUGUCACUGACGCUGAGGCUCGAAAGCGUGGGUAGCGAACAGGAUUAGAUACCCUGGUAGUCCACGCCGUAAACGAUGAGUGCUGGGUGUUAGGCCCUUUCCGGGGCUUAGUGCCGGAGCUAACGCAAUAAGCACUCCGCCUGGGGAGUACGACCGCAAGGUUGAAACUCAAAGGAAUUGACGGGGGCCCGCACAAGCGGUGGAGCAUGUGGUUUAAUUCGAAGCAACGCGAAGAACCUUACCAGGUCUUGACAUCCCGAUGCUAUUCUUAGAGAUAGGAAGUUACUUCGGUACAUCGGAGGCAGGUGGUGCAUGGUUGUCGUCAGCUCGUGUCGUGAGAUGUUGGGUUAAGUCCCGCAACGAGCGCAACCCUUAUUGUUAGUUGCCAUCAUUAAGUUGGGCACUCUAGCGAGACUGCCGGUAAUAAACCGGAGGAAGGUGGGGAUGACGUCAAAUCAUCAUGCCCCUUAUGACCUGGGCUACACACGUGCUACAAUGGUCGGUACAACGAGUUGCGAGCCGGUGACGGCAAGCUAAUCUCUGAAAGCCGAUCUCAGUUCGGAUUGGAGGCUGCAACUCGCCUCCAUGAAGUCGGAAUCGCUAGUAAUCGCGGAUCAGCACGCCGCGGUGAAUACGUUCCCGGGCCUAGUACACACCG
RNAcentral lists this ribosomal RNA (754 nucleotides) under uncultured bacterium. RNAcentral's name for it is "bacterial SSU rRNA". It matches the Rfam family "Bacterial small subunit ribosomal RNA", at positions 638 to 1392 of the family's 1533-position model. The record is from RNAcentral.